Hypanus sabinus (Atlantic stingray) is the source of this 527-nucleotide non-coding RNA. The record is from the annotation of a RefSeq genome assembly. NCBI's taxonomy places the organism in Eukaryota, Metazoa, Chordata, Chondrichthyes, Myliobatiformes, Dasyatidae.
CCCCGACAACAAAAGCUGAUAAACUGCGCUUCCUCUCAGAUUCCAAGCUCUGAUCCGGCGCAACAAGCAUGAGGCAGGGUGCCUGGUUCGUGGUGCUGCUUUUCAGCUGUAGAAGUGUGGCUCAGACCCUGACCCAGCCCAAAGCAUCGAUGACGAAGCCUGUCGGGAAAGCUGUGCUAGUUCGGUGUCUAAUGAAUGGAGGCUCCGUAAACAGCUAUUAUCCCCUUCACUGGUACCAACAGAAACCCGGCAAGCCGCUCGAAAGGAUACUCUACUAUGGAGAUAGCGUAACGCGGGAUUCGGGAUUCGGGACAUCCUUCAAUGCGGGAAAAACAUCAGAUUCCGAAUUCUAUCUCUCAAUCGAAGUUGACGCCGAAAGUGCUGCCACCUAUUACUGCGCCUACUGGAAGAAGGUCAUCGAGCUGCAGCUCCAGUUCCCCAACGCGGUCAUUAAGGAGCUGCAGCUCGAUGCACCUGACGCAUAUGUGGCCGUUCGGGAGGCUGGGAUUCUCCAGGACUUCCCAUAA